AACUGAAGAUGAGUCGUGGUCUGACUUGGUCUCCUUCUCAUCCUGAACCUUUCCUCAGAGCUGGUCUCAUCAUGAGCUUCACAGAGAAACCUUCUGACUUCAGUGACUCCUCACAGGAAACUGUAUUAAAAUGUGAUUUGUUGUUUUUUAUGGUAAAAUAAAAUCUUUUUAUUAAA
Mugil cephalus (flathead mullet) is the source of this 176-nucleotide long non-coding RNA. RefSeq lists it as uncharacterized. The transcript is spliced from 2 exons. NCBI's taxonomy places the organism in Eukaryota, Metazoa, Chordata, Actinopteri, Mugiliformes, Mugilidae. The record is from RefSeq and is a predicted model, not a curated record.